Molecule: long non-coding RNA, 431 nt
Organism: Salvia miltiorrhiza (redroot sage)
Lineage: Eukaryota; Viridiplantae; Streptophyta; Magnoliopsida; Lamiales; Lamiaceae
Exons: 4
Source: RefSeq, a predicted model, not a curated record
ACAAAAGCCAAGUUUUAAAAGCUAAAUUUUCCUUCUAUUAGUUCAUCCGCUCUUUCCUUCUCUUUUCAACACACCCAACAAAGUUUAAAGUGCAGAGUAAUCAAGCAGAUUCAGAUCCAAAUUCAUUGUUAAAUUGUUGAUUCGCAGAUCCAACUUUGUGAGUUCAGAAAAUUAUCAAGGUCCGGGCGACAGAAAGUGAAGCAGAAGAAGAAACGACUCCACGCCAGCUUUAAGAACAAUUGAGGUUGAGCAGGCGAUGGAAUGGAUCGGUGUUGAGCGGAUUUCCCUUUUGAUGUUUAUGUAAUGAAACCUUGAGUAUGCAUCUCCAUAUGCAUAACUCACACGUUUUUCCGCUGCAAACACUCUGAAUUUGUUAUCGUAUUGUGGAACUUAUUACUUCUUCAUUUUGUUUAACUUUCAUUUGGGGUUUA